RNAcentral lists this long non-coding RNA (2650 nucleotides) under Vitis vinifera (wine grape). RNAcentral's name for it is "long non-coding RNA (VVIN_LNC007342)". Lineage: Eukaryota; Viridiplantae; Streptophyta; Magnoliopsida; Vitales; Vitaceae. The record is from RNAcentral.
AUUUAGCGAGGUGGCGAAUCUAAAACUUGUGUGGUGGCUUGAAAUCAACGGAAAGAUGAAUACUUGCAUCUUGUCGCCAAGGACAAACUAUGUGGUCUAUCUUGUAUUCCAAAGGAAUGAGAGAUUUCAUGGAUUUGAAGGCAAUCCUAUAGAGGCAUCAGUUGGAAUUGUUGGUGGCGAAACUACUACUUGGAUCCGGAACAUGAUACCAACCCCAACUCGGCUCGAUUAGAUGGGUGGUACGAAGUUGAAUUAGGUGAAUUCUACAAUGAAGGAAGAGAUGGCGAGGAACUCGAGAUGAGUAUUAUGGAGGUGAAAACAGGCAAUGCCAAGUAUGGGCUCUUGAUUGAAGGGAUUGAGAUCAGGCCUAAAUUUUGUUCUUAGAUGUUUUUGUGUAGGUGGCAAAUUCUGUGCCUUAAUUUGCAAUGUUAUUGAGUCAGGAGGGCUAAUUCCUGUAGUUAAUAUUACUAAACCAUUGUUCUAGAGCAGGAUUAUAUGAUAUAUUAUGGUAGCUUCUCGAUAUGAUGAUCCAAACUAAUUCGGAUGAAAAAAAUGUUAUUUGAUUAAAAGGGUCAUUCAAAACCCAAUUUUGCAAUCCUUUUAUGGUCAUAUUUUGAUAAAAAUACUCUCAUUUAAAAAAAAUAAAUAAAUAACAAUUUUUCUAUAACUACAUGUAAUUACUUGAAAUAGUUAAGGCUGUAUAUGUUAAAAAUUGGUAAUUUUUCAAACAAAAAUAGGAAAGAUUUUAAAUUUACAAAUAGGAAGAUUAUUUCAUCUUUUUUAACCAAUUAAUUCAAAAAAAAAAGUUGGAAAGAUCACUUCAAAUGAGAUUUGGUUGAUAUUUAGCAUUUUGUAGGUUUUCUAUAACAUUCUGAAUGUAAUUAGAUUUAUUUAUUAUUAAAUGGGUUUCGUAGUGCAAGGUGUUCAGUUUAUUAUGGCCUUAUCACCUUUAGUUCUUGUAUAUAAUUGAUGAAAAUCAAUAAUAUUUCUUAUGGUAUUCUUUUUUUGUGUUUUUUUUUUCUAUUUUUUCCUUUUAAAGAAAAAAGAAAAUGAAAAUGAAAGAAUUAUACAAAAAAAAUGUAUAUAUUUAGAGCUUGUGUUUGUUGUAUAAUUUAAAAAUAGUUUUUUGUUUUUAAAAACAAAAAAUUAUUUUUUAAAAUUUCUAACAGUGUUUGAUUGUUAUUCUCUAGAAAUAAUUUUAAAAAACGAAGUAAAAUAGAGAAUAAUUUUUAGAGAAUAAGUACGGGUUGUUUUCACCAAUUUUUAAAAAUUAAAUUUAAAAUAUUGGUCAUUUUCGUCUUAUUUUUUGAAACUUGUUUUUAAAAAUUAUUUUAAAUUUAAAGAAUAAAAAACAAGUUUUAGCAAACACGAUCAAAUGGGUCAUAGAUAUUUAAAGAUUUUAGAAAACCUCAAUUUGAUAAUAUGGUUAUCAUGCAAUUCAAUAUAUCUCUUUUACACUUCAUUUUUAUUUUUUAAAAUGAUCAGAAACAUGAUUAUUAGAUUUAUUUUCCAAUUAUAAGUUUAGAAAUAAUUAGUGCUUCACAAUGAAUCUAAAAGGUUUUUUAAUUAAAAGAAACUAUCUACCUUCAAGCUUUUUUUUAAUUAAGGAAAGCUUUUAAAAAAAAUGAUAUUUGAUAGAAUCAUUUAAUAAGUGACUGUGCACGAAUCAUUUCAAGUAAUUUUUCAUGUUUUCAAAAGUAAUUCUUAAAAUAAAUUUUCAUAUUUAUUUUAUAUAAACCAAAAAUUGUUGAGACACGAGGAAGGAGAGGUAAAAGGAGAAGGGAGUGGAACUAAGGAAUGGCAACGGGGCGGGUUCGGGACGGGUCGCCCCCAUCCCAACCCCGCCCCGUUUAUUAAAAAUAAUUCUCAUCCCCGUCCCGUUUAAAAAAUUAAACGGGGCGGGGCGGGGCGGGUAUGGGAAAUUCUCAAACCCGCCCCGUCCCGCCCCGUUUAGCCUCCUUUUUUUUCUUUUUUUCUUUUUUUUAAAAUUUGCUUUUAAAAUUUUUAAUUACAUUAAAAUAAAUAUAUUUAUAAAUAAUAAAAUUAUUAUAUUUUUUAUAACUUAUUUUAUUAAUUUUUUUAUUAUUAUCUAUAUAUUAAAAAUAGUAAAAUAAAAUUAAUUUUAAAAUUUAAAUUAAAUUAAAUUUUAAAAUUGAUUUUAUAUGUAAACGGGGCGGGGCAAUACCCGAACCCGCCCCGGGUUUAAAAAAAAAAUCUCAUAUCCGUUAAAAACCUGUUUAUUAAAUUUCAACCCCAUCCCAUUAGGGGCGGGGCGGGGCGGGUACCCGAAAAAACCCGUCCCAUUGCCAUCCCUAAGUGGAAGGUCACGAUUCUUCCCUUAACCGGUUAAGUUGAUUUUGUUUUACGAAUUUAAAAUGGAUGGCCAAGAUGUAAUCUUUCGACAUCCAAUGGUUUAAAUAAUUUUCGGUACGGUACCGGAGGAUGUACCGUAGAAUUUUCCAUAUUAUUUCAUGUAUGCUUCGUGUGUAAGAAAUAUAGCAGCAAGUCAAAAAGCCCAGAGCAGAGAGAACAAAUGGAGACUGAAAGCAUUAUUCAAGCCAAUUCUUCAAAGUUCGGCGCCGGCGUCGACUUCUCGGCACUGCCGGAAGAUUGCAUAGCCGGUAUUCUGGCACGGACAAGUAUUCGCGAC